GGAAGCCUGAGUCUCCGGUACAGCCUCCUGCUUGGCCACAGAUGUUCCCUGUCAUCAAUCAUUGAGGGCAUCUGUUUGCUGUGCCGCUUGUUUAAAGAGCGAGGCGUUUGCUAAUUGAAAACUAAAAGAUCCAUCCGUCUCACUCAGAGCCAGCAUGAAAUCCACUCAGCCAUGCAAGACCAGGGUGGAAAAGGCAGCACAGAGCUACCGCUAACGUAUCUUCAGGUUGGCGCACCCCACGGAAGUCAUCUCCUGUUUCCUGAGCAAGCCUGGCUCCCCUCCUCACCUCGAAGCAGCCAGGGGCUGCCCAUGCUACCGUUUAUCUAAUACUUCCUCAUCUAUUAUCCCCAGUGUAGUCCAGAGAGAAAGUUUGCCUCCAGAGAUGGUAGAUGUGCUGGUCUGAGCCCCCAGAGAUGGGGGACUGAUCCAGAGCUGGAUCUCCAUGGCAUCUGGAAGGGAUUCCAUUUCUCUGGAAAGUUGGCUGCCAUGUCAUCAGGAUGUUCAAGCAGCUCUGUGGAAGGGUCUACAUGGUAAGGGACUGAAGCCUCCUGCCAACAGCCAUGUGAAUGAACCAUCUUGGAAGCCCAUCUUCCCUCCCCAGACAAGCCUUCAAGUGACCAUGGCCACUGCCAAGGUCUUAACCACGACCUUUUGAAAGACCCUGAGCCAGAACCACCUGACUGAGCUGCCUGAAUUCCUGACCCACAGGAGCUAUGAGAUAAUAAAUUUUUGUUGUUUUAAAUUGCUAGGAUUUAGAGUAAUUUACUAUACC
Bos taurus (domestic cattle) is the source of this 772-nucleotide long non-coding RNA. NCBI's taxonomy places the organism in Eukaryota, Metazoa, Chordata, Mammalia, Artiodactyla, Bovidae. The record is from Ensembl.